This 200-nucleotide unclassified non-coding RNA is filed under the name soil metagenome. RNAcentral's name for it is "partial contains internal transcribed spacer 2 and large subunit ribosomal RNA". The record is from RNAcentral.
GGUCUUGGCCCGCUCCCCUGAAAUGCAUUUGUGAUCGUGUUGCCCUUGUGAGUUGGCCCGACCAGGCGUGAUAGUAAUGAAGUUCGUCUGGGAUCCUCCGUGAGGGGGAGCCGCUCCUGUCGGGUUGUUAUCGAGAUCGCAUUCAUCUAUUAAUCUUUGGUUUAGACCUCAGAUCAGGCAGGACUACCCGCUGAACUUAA